AUGUGAUAAGUGACACUCCGAUUCCUCGGCGCCGUCCACAUCGGCCUUACGACUGCGCGCUACGUUUUGUGGCC
RNAcentral lists this small RNA (74 nucleotides) under Xanthomonas hortorum. RNAcentral's name for it is "sX9 sRNA". It matches the Rfam family "Xanthomonas sRNA sX9". Lineage: Bacteria; Pseudomonadati; Pseudomonadota; Gammaproteobacteria; Lysobacterales; Lysobacteraceae. RNAcentral also lists the same sequence under 7 other names. The record is from RNAcentral.